RNAcentral lists this non-coding RNA (29 nucleotides) under Rattus norvegicus (Norway rat). The record is from RNAcentral. Lineage: Eukaryota; Metazoa; Chordata; Mammalia; Rodentia; Muridae.
UGAGUCUAGAGUUAGACUGGCCAAAUUCU